This is a non-coding RNA of Anas platyrhynchos (mallard), 21789 nucleotides long. The record is from RefSeq and is a predicted model, not a curated record. Lineage: Eukaryota; Metazoa; Chordata; Aves; Anseriformes; Anatidae.
AUGAUUUUUUUUUUCUCUUUUAUAUAUAAAUAGAAGUCUGCAGGCAUCCUCUUCCACUCUUUCUCUCAAAUCAUUAGGGCAUAUGUAUGUCUGCUCACUAACAGAGGGGAGACAAAUAGGGACAUCAUAGAAGGAGUCUCCAGGUGACCUUGGACCAAGCAAAGAUUUGUUUCCAUUUUGAGGAGCAUAAAUUCUUGUGCUCGUGACUGUGCAGGAAGCAAGGAGUGAAUUUUUCACCUUGACUUCUAGACAGUACAGAAUGAAGCCUUUCUGGACGAGAGAAAGCUGAACGAAUGUGUCUACUUUGAAUCAAAACUCCCAUUUCAUUGCACUCUGAUGCAAACAUAGAGCAAAAGUCAGACAGGUUUGGCAUGCUCCUCGGCCCUGCUGUUUUUAAGUAUUUAUUUGACAUUGUUUCAGAUGGAUUUCAGUGAUUAUCAUUUAUUCACCUUCUAUUUGGCAUCUUUAUCUGAGCUUAAUAUUCAUCUGUGGAUUGAGUAAAAUGAAUAUUUCAAGCCUUAAAUUAUGGAUGUACUGCAGCACUGCUGGCAUCUCAGACUUAAAGACCUUUGUGCAGUUUUUGCAUCUCAUCUGUUUUUUGGUGUCUCCUGAAACUGUCAGGGAACUUUUGCUGGCCUGCUGGAGAGCAGUGCCUGGCUGCAGCGGGCUGCAGGGCAUAUAUGGGGAGGCUUUAGAGCCUCAGUCUCCUUGGACACCACCCCUGAGCCCUUUGCUUUCCCCCUUCAGCAGCUGUGGGCCGUGCCUCUCCUCUCCCACCUUUGUUUCUCCCUUUGUUGUGGGUUUCUCCCCAAGUGUUUUCUUGGCUGUGCUUUCUGGGUUUUAUGCUCCCUUCUCUUUCUUCUCUUCUUCUCAGCGUGCAGGGUGCUUCUCCCUGGCAGUUGCCAUAGAGAUCACAGCACUUCUCUCUGCCUCUGCGAAAGGCACUGCUAUCCCUGUGUAGCUUGGCUGGCUGAGCCAGCUGCCUCAUCCCAAAUGUGUCAUCUUUCCCUGCCCCACACCGUGUGACCUGACUGUCCUGUAGGCUGACAGGCUGCUUACCUCUGUCCUGGGAUGCAUGGCUAUGCCAUUGUAUUGCACUCCAGGCUCCCAGUAAGCAUUCCUGAUCCGUGCACAGUAGUGGAGGACAAUGAAUUGCUAAGUAGCCCCAUGGCAAGACUGCCCCUUCCCAGCUCCAUGCCCUCAAAUUUCAAUCCACCUUCUGCCUUCCACCUGCUGGGUACCGUGGUGCUCCUCAUGUGCAAAGAUCAGAGCAGCAGGAGUGCCAGUGCCUCCGAGUGCCAGGGCACCAUGAACCCCUGCUUGCCUGGGCUGACAUGCAGGAGAGAGGCAGAUGGACAGAGAAGGGGUAAGGGACCUCACCAUGGCCUGGCCUUUUGCUGCCUUCCCUUUGUGCCCUGGUCAUAACUUUAGGUUGCUGCAAUCUGUAGCUGACUCAGCAGUGGUGGUACAAGGUUCAGUGCUGAUGGCUGGCUGAGAGAUGAGAGGUAACUGCUUUUCUCUCUGGCUAAUCUUACACCCAGGGGAUCAUGUGGAAACUAACCAGAGGGUGGGGAGUUAGUGUCCUCUGCUGGCCUCAUGAAUAUGAUUAUCUGAAACUUUCACUUGGCAGCUUUGUACAUGCUGUUCCAGCACCAUUAUCUUGUACGUUGAUUCAAAGCAAUCAAUAAGCCUUCAAGAAGGUUGUCCUGAACACUUUUGACAAAUUAUUAAUAGAAGUCAUUUGAGCAGUUGAGCUGUUCAGAACUUUUUACUGUUUAAAAGCUUGACUGUUGGGAAUGCAGCAUGCAAAAUAUUAAUUUCACUUCAUACAUUUCUAAGAAGAAUUUCUGAUGGAAGGGAAGCUUCGUUCUUCUGAAGUGAUGCUAGAAGCAAUGACACAACCAUUCAGACUCCAUUUGAUCAGUUGUAGAUAGAGUUACCUGAAGAUUCUGUAUUUUCCUCCCAUGUUCACAGGCACUUAGGAAAGGUUGUGGCUUUAUAUGGCAAAAAUGAUCAGAACGGCAGUGAACUUUGAAAAGUUCAGAAAAGAGAGUGUAUUUGAAUGGAGUUUCUCAAGCAGUAGCGGAUGAAAACUGCCCUGCUUGCGUCUAAAUCAGAAUAAAUGAGGAAGAUAUGAACUGAGCCUAGUGUGGAGGAGUACCAGGUAAUAGUUGGACAUUGCAGAAAAUACUACCUUUGUCACCUUUGGUGACGUGGGAUUUGACUAGAGCUGAAAUCACAGGGAGAUGAAUCUGUCUUCCCUGCAGAGGUUCAAAUAGAAGAGACACUGUCAGGGUAAAUUAGAUGCAGGACAAAAGCCUUCUGAUCACAGCGGGUUUCAGGGGGUUUAUUUUAAUGGGAUAACUCUUAGCUGAGGGCAAGCUGAGCUAAUGACUCAGAGUUGUGUAUUGCAAUAAAGGCGUUGUAGGUUUUUUUUUUUUUUGGAAAUUCUGAGAUUUCCUGUUCUCUACUGAAACCAUUAUGAAAAGUGUUAAAAGAUCUGAAGGGAUGGAAAAACAGCCUACUUGUAGUGUUUGCUUUCCUGCCAAAUGACCACUAGCAAGGCAAUUUUACCAAUCAGUCAGAAGCAAAAUACAUUUUUACUGCAACUUUGCAAAAUCUGCCUCAAUCAUUCAUGAUAGGAAGAAUUGCCCUGUGGAGAAGGCAGUGACUUGGCCCUCUGAAGCUUAAAGCUGAGUUUGAGAUGUCCUGAGUUGUUUUGGGAAAAGUGCCUAAUCUUUGUGCACCCCUUUAAAACAUGAUUGAUACUUCACUAGCCGGUCUGGGAAGUUUCUGUCACAAGUCAUUCCUGACAGUGCCAGUACUGUAUGCUCAGUGUCCUGCCACCACAGGAUCCUGAUCUUGUCUGCAGACUUUUUGCUCCAACUAAAGUAUAGCUAUAAAAAUCAGAAUGCAGGAUGUUGUAAGUACAAAGCUAGUUCAUAUGAAAACAACCGGAGAGUAACCAGAUUACACUCCAGUACACUGGGUUGUUGGCCAAGGUUAUUCAGUAACGUGCCAAGUGACACAGUCUCUAGGUUUUAGGUUCUUACUGCUUUUGAAGAUUGUUGCUUGUCCUAUGUCUGGUGAAUGAAUGAUUUAUGCCUCAAAACUGUCCCAGCAGUGCUUCUGAGCUACUGGGAUUAUAACUAUGAAGUAUUAAAAAAAAAGGUCACUAUUUUCUCCCCAUGCUGACUUGAGAACAUAGAUCAGACUGAUAACAGCUUUGAAAUAACCCAGAUGUGGAUAUGUUUCCCCAGAAAUUGAAGUCUUGCAUGUGUUUACGGUCGCAACAGCUCUAUGUGUGCAUCCCCUCCGGCACAGGCGAACCUGUUGUCCCGUGGAAGCAGCUGAAGGCUCGAGCAGCCUGUCUGGCACCGGGUGUGCUGGCUGCUGGAGUGACAGAUUUAACGCUGUCACGGCUUUGCUCAGUGAUGUCACUGGUGCUGAAAUAAAGCUGCAGCAGAUGAAGUCAGCGGCUCUGCUGGCUGGCUGGAGGCUGUUCCAGCUGUACUGACCACAGUGCUCUACAGAAAGAUAUCUGCAUUUCUUCUCCCUGAGUACUUUGAAAAAUGCUGUAGGGAAGCAGCAAGGGACACAGGUGGCCAGUGGCUCCAACACAGCCCAGCCCUAAGGCGUGUCUCUGUCUGUGUGAAUCUGUCUGAAGCUGGCACUGAAAUUCUCUCUUCUUUCUCAUGCCACUGGGCCAGAGGCUGCCUGCUUGCUUAGCUCACCGUGAGUACUCAGGCCUCCAGGGCAGCUGGAGUGCCAGCUUGCUGCCAGCUCAUCUGGGGAAACUGGUGACCCUGCCUUUGCAGGUGCAUGGUCAUUCAUGCCUGGGGUGUCUUCUUUGCCCCUGUCUUGUGGUGCUCGUGGAUAUUGCCCAGCCCAGCUGUCAGUGGUGCCAUCGCCCUGUCUAGAUGGGUAUGCGCUGUUUCUUCUAGAGACAGUUCAGAAAGCUAACGUGAUCACUAUGUCCCAUGGUGACACAUCAUCAGAAGCUAAGUAUACCAAGGAAGAACAUGGUAGAAUCAGUAGGAAUCAUUUGGGUGAAGUAAAAGGUGACCAUGAAUUUCUAUUUCUUCUUGCUAGGAAAAAAUAAAAGGAAGUUGUAUUUUGAGCAUAAACUCUGCCUUCAUUCAGGGUUGGCAAAUCCUGUUUUUUGUUCUGUUUGUUUUUAAUGUUCUUGCACUAAUUUCCUGGCUAUUCCUGCUUGAAAGUCCUACUGGACAAUGACUGAAUCCUUUUGUCUUGCCUGCCAAAUAAAGCAGAUUGUCAAAAGCAAAACAUGUCGUGGAUCAUGUUUUGCAGACAAACCGGAAAAGAACUUGGAUGCUUCACUUCCUCUGAACUUGCUGCCAGAUCUCAUGGGCUUCAUAUACAAGCUAUAUGGCAAAAGACUGCUUUGCAUUUCUAUAACUCUAUAGAAGUGUAGUAAAAGUUGGGCCACACUCUGAGCAGUAACUUGAGUUGGGCAGCUCUUGUGCACAAAGGUUGUGGUGGUUCUGUUUCCUGAGGGGCCCCACAACAUUCAGAGGGGUUAUCUGGUGAGCAGGACAGUUUGUGUGACCAGGAGUGUGAGGCUCAGCACUGAUCUAUCAAAUCUUUUAUGCUGGCAUUAGGCAUUGCCACGCUGUUGUUCGGUCACCAGCUUCUAAGUUUGCUUUCUCAGACAGGCUUGCUCACUGUUUUCUACGAUCUGCCUUGUCCUAGAUCUAGACCUCUCUGGAGACCUGAGUGCGUCAGCUGGGUUUGUUUUUUGUAUGUGGCUGGACUGGGCAGAGACGUGGCCUGGGCAGCCCAGUCUGCCAGCAAAUAGCCUCUGCUCAGCACCUGUGAAAUGCAGUGUGCCCUCAUGGCUACGUGGCACCUGGUGUACCAGGUGUUGGUGUGAGCAGAAAGCAGGCAGGCCCUAAGGCUUGGUGAGCUCAAAUAUGCUGUUGAGGCUGCUCUUCAUCCUGGUGUGUAUUCAAGACAUCGCUCCACACCUUGCAAAGGGGACGUGUAGCACCCGACUCCACACUCAGCACAGAUCUGAGGAGUUUGAGUUUUGAAGCUGUUGGAAUUUGAGUAUGAGGCUUGUUGUUCAGAGGCAAUAUCUUUUCAUAGCUGUUAUCUCAUAGCUUUGUGCAAAUACUCUAGGUAAAAUUGCCCCAUAAAAGUCUAACCACAAAUCAGGAGAGGUGGUGAAAGAGAGUGGGUUGGAAAGAAACUUUCUCCCCUCCAGUCUAUUUUAAUUUUAUGUUGUGAAAUAAGGGGGCUCUAAGUAAGCCAGCCAAGUAUUCUCAGAAGAAUUGAACUAUCUGCAAUGUUUUAUCUUCAGUAAGAUUUUUUUUUUCACCUUUCUAUAGGGAAUUAAGACGUCACUUGAUGAAGCAGAUCUGUGGUGCUUUGUGCCUGCGUCCCAAAUUCUUGUCAGAGGGGGAGGAGUUACAUAACGGGCAGAAAGAGUGCAAAAUUCCCAGUAUGCUGUGUUUGCUCUGUGAAAAUGGUGUCAGGGGAAUAGACACACAAAAGUAAGAUCAAAUAAAUAGAGCUGAGAGAAUGAACCCGAAUGACACAUGGAAGUUACAGAGAAGAAGCUGGUAGUUUCAGUUGUGAUUUAAGAGUUUAAAGGGGUAAUGGCAGAAUAGAGGUAAAUCCAGUUUUCUUCCACACGUUACAAACAGCUCAUUAUUUUCAUUUAAAUGUUUUUUUUCUUUCAUUUUUGUUUUUCAAUCCAAUCUUCAUUGUCUUGUGUUAAGGCUGAUAGUCUGUGUAGGAUCUAAGCUCAUUCCCAUUGAAACACAUGUAAAGACCUCCAUAGGCUUGCCAGCUUUCCAGGGUCUAGUCAACUUUGCAAAUUCUGUACCAAGCAGAUACACCUUGACAGCACCUGAUUCUAAAUCAUUGAAGUUACUCCUUGGAAAUUAUAAAAUUUCUUAAGAAAGAAAAAUCCUUAAAAAUUCCUAACAAGUAGUACUCCCAUGACUACUCGCCUAAUAAAUGCCAUAUGGAAGAACAGUGCAGCAUUUGAUUUCCAGAGUGCUCAGAAACCAGCUAAGAAUGCCAAAUAUUGUUCCUGGUUGGCCUGGAAUAAUGGAGCAAUGCACAUGCUGAAGCUCUUGCAUUGUUUGUGCAGUUCUGAAGUGUUUUCCCAUCACAGGAAAGGUAUAGCCCCAUCUUAUAUUUUUGUUCAUGUAUUAUUGCUCAUUCAUGUGUGUUCUGCUUUCUUGCUUCUUCAGAAUUUAGUGUAACAGAGGUAAAUUGCCAUUGCUCAGAUACACCUCCUUUUCUGUAAGCCUAGUUAAAUCUAGGUAUACAACAGCAAUUUGUAUUUUUAUAUCUUUCACAAUGCUAGGGUGCACCCACAGAGGACAUCUGAUGGGCAAACGUCAUUGGCAAAAAGCCAGACUAACUUGAAUUUGUAUAGUAUUAGCACACGUGAAGGAAUUCAAAGUUAAACAGAGAUCCUGCCACAAAUUUGUGUGAAGGAGCAAAAUCAUCUCUCGUAGUGCUCAGUAGCAGCAGAAGGUAGAGGAGCCCUGGAGGAUCGUUGGCAUUUCUCCCUCCUUGCUUCCUGUGUCUGGCCUGCACGUUGUCCAGGGCCCAGUCUCUUCAGAGUCUCAUCCCCAGGGAACAUGUUGCCAAUGGGGCUUGGACAUCACUGCAAAAGGCACUUUUCCCUGACAGCCUCAGUUGGCUUUUGAAUGCUGAGGUGCAAUGGAAAUGUCCCUGGUGCACCUCAGUGAGGAUACAUUACUAUACAGUGACCCCAGUUCUUUACGAUUAUCUACAAAAAUGAGAAAAUGCCAACCUUUGCUAUAUGUAAAUGUUUUCAGAGAGGCAGAGAGAGGUACAAAAGAAUGGGGGUCAAUUGGAAGAAGAAUGCAGCUCACUUCUCCAAUAGCAAUUACAGUGUCUGAGUCUUACCUGACUGCUAGAGACCUGCUGCCUCACUUGGUAACGAAAAACAGGCCCAGAAAUGAUGGCGUAGCUAUAGCAGCACUGCAGCUGGGGAGCUGUUCAUUACAAAUAGCCCGUGCCAAUAUGGUGUUGUGGAAAAACUCUUCAGUACCUCUUCUACCUUUCAAGCACUUUUUAUUUUCCUUCCGUCCUAUCUGUGUGCUCUUGCAGUCUGCUGCUGGGAGGCCUUGUGCAUCCUGUUUUGCAUUUGGACUCCUAAACCUGGCUCUUGGUUCUUCCAUCAGCUGUUUUCAAACAAUCUUUUGUGCCAAUCUAAUAAACAGUGGAUGUAUAAAUUUAGUGAAGGACUGAUCCCAGAUGCUUUUCUGUCUUGUACUGUAAUACAUUUUUCAUAAGCAGAAAUUCUGUUCUUAAUGUUCCAAAAGUGAUAUAGAAGUUGGAAAAGCAGCCAUGUCUAGGCCUCCCUUACCUGCUGUUUCUCAUUUCUGCAAAAAGAACUGUAAGUAAAAUUACAUGCCAGGGUCUUUAAUCACAGUCUGAAGGUUAAUACCAAGGGUUUAUGAACUGCAUUUCCCUCAAAGCUUUAGCAAAAUACUUGAUUCCUGUGCUUGUCACAAUUUCUGUGCUAUGCCAGCUGUUGCCUGAUUAUUCUUGUUUCAUUAAUAAAGAGUCAUGUGGUUGGAGAUAAAGGUGAGCUGUGAUGUUGCAAUGCAUCACCAUUGAGUUGUGUGGAUGAAGCCUUGAUAAAAAUCUCUGCUCUGUGAUGUACACGCUCUCAAAAUUCACUUUAGGAAGCAUUCUUGCUUUCAUUGUAUCAGCCUGAGAGGAGACGCCGCAUGAGGAAUUUGCACAGGAACUGUUUCUCAGCCUAUCAAAUAUUUGCCUAUUCCCAACUAGAAGGAAACAGGCAUUUAGCGAAGGGGAUGUGUGCGGUGGGAUCAGAGCUGUGUACUGUGUUGGGCUGCUGCUCUGCUGGUGCAAGAGCAGGAGGGCUCAGCUCUGUAAGGCUUUGGGCUUAGCUGGGUAAAUGUGCCCCGCUGGCAACUGUUCAGUGGCAUGGCAGAGCCCUCUGCACUGCAUGGCAUGCAGCGCGGGGAGCUGCUGUUUGGGCCAAGCUGAUAAAGCCCAGUUUAUUAUGGUAGGAAGCUUUGAGUCUGUGACCAGCUGAACACUUUCAACACGUGGUAGUGAAUGCAAGUGUAAGCACCUUGUACAACUGAACAAUGACUCUCUUAAUGUCUUCCCUGGAGAUUUCUUACCAGAAGAGAAAAAUUAUUCACUUUGACUAUUCACACCAGACUAUUCACUUUGCCUGAAAGGAAUUUAAUCCUUCUGCAUCUUUGAACCGUUUGGAAAUGUGAUGUUCAAGCAGAUCAAUUUUCUCUAGGCAGAUGUGUGAUAUGCCAUUUCUCUAAUUACUUUCUAUGCAUGCUUUAAAAUGAAGAAGUUCAAUUUCAACAUAUUAUUUUAUCUUAUCCAGGAAGAACAGCUUUUUUCUCCUUACACCCACUGCCCAGCAACAGAUUGAGAAACACACAGACGCACACGCUUAUAGUCCACUAUAUCAUUUCUCUCUCUAAUAACAAUAGUGUGUGGUUUUGUGUGGGGAAAAAAACACAACUAUUUAAUUACUAAAACUCUAUUAGUUCUGCUCUUAACUCUGCUGACCCCUUUGUAGAUUAAAAAAGAAUUAACCCCGCUGGCAUAGAUCCCUCCUGCCAUUUCAUUGUGUGCUUGGGUUUUGAACGUGUAGUGGAAGAGCAAGGAAGAAGACUCAAAUAAACCUCACGAUGAUUAGACAAGUUUUGCUGACCAGUAUUACUCAUCAUACUGACUAGUACUUGUUUGUUAUGCCUGCAGGUUAUAAUGGAGGUGUCUGGCCUAGCUCUGAGGAAAAAAAGUUGAGCAUUAGAAGCUGCAGCAGCUUGGGGCUGAUCACCCCAAGUGGCUGACCUCGUUUGGGUACUAUAGCUAGUUUAUUGCAAGAUAGUCCAAUCCAUAAGAUUGGAUUCUUCCAUAGCACUGCCAUUUCUCUGUAGGCACACUACAGUUUCCUUUUGCUUGCUCAUUUGUCUCCCUCUGCCUGUUGUCUUGUAUUUGCCAUUGAAAUUGCAAGCACUGUCAGGCAGGAAUGGUCUUUUGUUCUGCAUAUGCCUCAGCAAACACAAAGGUAUCAUAGGCCCAUGGAUGCUACUGUGAUAGCUUUAAUUGUUUUCACUGGAAACCACAGUUGAACUGAAGGUUUCAAAUUAGUUUGGUGAAGUGGGACUGUCUUGCCAAAAUCCAUGAUUGCUUUCACAUAUUCCACUAAAUUUGCUGCUAGGGUCUACGUGAGCAUAAAUCCUAACCUACUGCUGCGUUAUUUGAGAUUAGUCACUGGAGAUUCUCUUAUAUAGACUCCAAGAAAGUUCACUGCUCACUGUCUUGAAAUGUGUUGGCAAGGUAUGGUGCAUUGAUUACUUGGUACUGUGCGUGCUUCUGAUAAUUAAUGCUGGGAUCUUGCCUCACUUAAUGGGGAGUUAUAGUGGAGUUUCCCACUAGAAUUUGGUAUACCUUGCUGGUGGUUUUCUAUAUUGUUCCCUCUAAAUAGCAACAUGCACCAAUAGCAUAACACAGUGAAGUUUUAACUCCUUUGUACAGUAGUUUUUACUCCCCAUCAAUAAAAAAUUUUCGAGCCACCACCAACCAGAACAUACUGCUUUCAUAUUCUGUGAAGGGAAAAUAUUUCAGCAGCUGAGAAAUGCAUGCUGCAGUUGGUAUUUCAUAUGACUGAUACUGGUGCGAUAUUGAUAACUAGUAACAAAACUGUAAGAGAAGAGCGUAGUAUGAUACUCCAGCCAGAUGUCUGGUUGUGUCCUUGGAAAUACUGUCGGUAGAAAAUUAUUGCUAGAGAUGCAGCAGCGCUGCCUUCACUGAGGGAGACAGACACUGACUGAGUAGGGUCUGCAAGCAGAUUUAUGGUAAAGACAGAUGCAGAACCUGCAAUCCAGAACAAAAACAUUUGUGGGAGUGGAGAGUGUUAAUGGCCUUUUUUUUUUUUUUUUUUUUUUUCGAUGAUGAUGAUGAAAUCUGGGUAGAAAGAAACUAACAAACAACCUUAGUUAUUAUAUUGCUGAUGUGUUACCAGUCCAACUUUUGAUGCGGAAUGAAGCUAACUCGGUGCAUCCUAGUGAAGAAAGAAUAAAGGAAUGGAAGGUAAUCAGUAUUAUACUGAAUGAAUCUUUUUCCUAUCUUCUAGAAGGCAGCAAGUUCACAGUCUUUUGAAUUCUCAGAGCAAAACAAUCAAAUAUCUUAUGUUUUAAAGCCAUUUUUGAGGCUGUUAUUUGGCCAUACUGUCUGGAGCCUUUUUAUGUUGCUCAAAAUGGAAUUCAUAAAUUGUUUUUUGAUGGUUAUGCACAUGUAACAUCCACUGGGUGACAGCAACAGUUGAACAUCUAACUAAAUGUGCUCGAGAAAACAAGACUUUCUGUAAUAACUAAGUCCCAGCAAUGUGGAGAAUACAAUUUGAAGCUUGCCAGCUCAUGGGCUAUUGUUCAUUCUGGUUAGCCAGAAGCAAAAGGCUGAGAUCUAACAAGGGUGAUGAUUUCAUCCUUUGGAUACCAAAGCUUGAAUAUUUCAGUGUUGGAAGAAAAAUGACACCAUUUUAUAGCUGCGUAGGACGUAAUUGAUACUUGUUUUUGUCUUCUACCUGAACUCACACACCUAACAAUUAUGUUUAUGUUGUUGGCUUCUUUUUCUCAGCUGAACUUACAGCUGGACUGUGCUGAGCUUGAUCCCAAACCAGCAAAAAUAGAUAAAAUCUCUGUAGAAAAGUUUUUCUUGAUUUUAAUGUCUGUGAUGUCUUCUCACAGAGAAAUUGCAAUGAUUUCGUGGCAUUCUAAUAACUAGCGUGAUCUAAUUAGACUUGUAGGGAGAUGUAAUUAAAAAAAAUAAAAAGACAAAAUGGUAUAGUCUUGGAUUAAAAACAAAACAAAACAGAAGCUGUCAAGUACUCAAGAAGGCUGGGAAACUUCUGUUUAUUCCCAUUAUAUCAACUAGUUUAAUAAAAGGCAUAACUUCUUAUAAUCUGUCUUAGAUAUAAUCACUGCAACCUUGCAGACAAGAUAUAUGUUUUGCUAGGAAUUCUUGGAACAUCCCUUCUUGCAUUCCUUCCAGAACUAGAGUUUCCCGUUCCUUUACAUGCAGUAUCUCAGUGAAGGAAGAAGCCUGACCUUCAUUUACAAACCAAUCACUGCUGGAGUAUAUGGAACAAUACUUCAAAAGGAAAAAUAAUUUAAGGCACAGUGAGUAUUCUGAUGGCUAUAUUCAAAAAGCAAAUCCAAAGAGUCUGUCUCUCUUGCCAGCUGUGUAUUGCUCUAACCUCACUCUGAUGUCACUCCAAAGAUAGUUCUGUCCAUAAAUGUACAAAAAUAUCAGGGAGUGGUCAACUCUCAAUAUACAGACCCUCUAGCAUCUUUGUUCUUAGCACUCAUCAGCCAGGAUCAGCGCAGUGUAACAACCCCUUCCAUUACCUUCAUUUUUCUCAUACAUUUUAGGGCCCUAUUUUCAAGCCUUUUUUGGUUUUGCUGUAAUUUGAGGCUAAUUUUACUGUAAGUCAAAAUGUUGACAAGCAUACACUUCCUCUGUAGGUUUAGAGAUUGUGGGUGAGUAGCAUGUCUCUGUGCCACAUUUAGCUUUGGAUUUUGAUGGAACAGACUGUUCCAACACGUCAGGCUUUUUCUCCUAGACCUCACCUUUCUGCCCAUAUGAAACACAAGCUGUUUGCUAUUUUGUAUCCUGCUCCUGUAUAAUGGACUAAUUCUUUUCUUACACUGUCUUCCUUCUACUGUCACAUCUUUUCUACACUAUGGUGAUCCUUCAAGCAGGAAAUAGGUCUCCAAGUCAAGCUCCUUGCUGUGCUUGGUUGCUGCUUUGUAUUUUCUAUAACUGUAGUGGUCUAGUGGUCUGGGGUCUCUGGAGGAGACCAUGGAAGGUGGUGCUGGUGAUUCCUAGGGAAGUGAGAGGUGUUAGAUCUACAUUCUCUGUUUCAGUGCCAGACUAUGGUAUGAGAUUCUAGACGUUCCUGUCUCUCUUUUCUUUUAGGAAGGAGCAGCAGUUGCCAUCAAUGUGUGUUGUGAUCUUGAAUGGAAGGGGAAGUGGAUGAGAAGACGUGCGAUGGUUUAGUCUGGGCAUUUAGACAGCAGUCCUAUCAGACUGUUGUAGCCAGUUAAACCCAAACUCAGCAGAAUAAGAGAAGUGCACAUGCACUUUCCAAACCAUCUCCAGGUUUAAGUGCUGAUGCAGGAAGUAAAUUUGAACUAAAAAUGCCUGGAAAUUUAAUUUUUGGUUGGCAAAAUAUGGCUAUCUGAGGAACAGCUUAGGUAGUUAAAGCUCUUGAAGAAGGGCUUGUAGAAAUAACCGAAAGCAGGUUUGUGUAGACUAAGUAGACAUCAGAGGUGUAUGCAUUGUUAUAGCUUUCUCAGUUAGAUUUUUCAAUGUGUGGUGCACUUUUGUAACCAGGUUUAUAGUUGUUAUUCUUAGAAUGAAAAGUUUUCUUUGAAGAUGUAGACCUGUACAUCUUUAGAUACAUUUUCAGGCACUGGACAAGUGCUUCAGUAAGUAGCUAUGAUUCUUUUCUCAACAGGUGUAUUAGUGUGCUAGGAGUUUAAGAGUUUCCCUGUUUUCUCCAUGGAAUGCAUUCAUAUCUCUUGAUCUGUGUGUUGUGGUAUUAUUAUUAUUUUUUAUCCAUGCACCUGGCUUGCCUAUUCUCUUCAUGCUCUGAAUUGGGAUCACAAUUCUGCAAGAAAACCAGGCUUAUACAGAUGAAUCUAUUGAUCUAGGUGUUUCAUGAGAAUUAGGCUCACAUCUGUGUUCUCAAAAAUAAGAGAUUAAGGGCUUUUUAUUUUUUUUUUCUUCCCAAGCAUUAAAUGAAGCAUUUACUUCUCGUAUUUUAUCUUCUGCUUUGAAGAGUGAAAUAUACAUAGGAUUUGCAGUAGUUUUUUCUUUUCUUUCAAUAGUGUUUGAUGCCCUGUGAGAUAUUCUGGCUUUGCUAACAUCAGUGAUAGGCUUCCAGUCUUCAAGGUCAGUGGGGUUUACCCCUACUGUGUUGGGGUUUUUAGAUGAUAGCUUGAUAAGCAUGUUGUAUAAUUCUGACUUGCCCAAGCUCUUGCUACUACUUUUCAGGUUUAUAUGCCUAUCUUCUUUGUAGACUUUUUUUCCUUUUCCUGUAGAAAUAUAACUUCAUGUCAUGGCAGUUGUGCCUCUUCCAUCUAUCUCUGGACUCCUGUGGAUGAGCAGUGAGCCAAUAUCCUGUGACAACUGGCAGGCUCUUCUUAAUAGACUGGUCCAGCUUCUCAGUACAGCCCUUAAAGUCGUGGAUUCUUGGUCUGGAAAGUCCACCUUGAAAUACCUUGCUGUUUCUUGCUGAAAUCUGUUUUUUGGUGAGUGAGUACCAUUUCACCUCUGAGAUACCACAAGUGCUGAUGAUGGCUCCUUGCUUUGGAGGGUGUUGACUGUGAGUCUGGCCCCUGCUUUUAGAUGAGCCUGGCAGAUUUUUUUGUUGUAAUUUGGAAUGGUGCCUCCUUUGGCACCAAGCAUUGCAAAAGACAAUUAUCCAUUAGAGAAGUUGUCCCUGGUACAUUUUCCUGCAUCUGUGCUCAUACUGAUCUUUCUUCUCCUGUUCCAUUACCAUGGAUAUUUGGCAGGGCCAUGAAACCUCUGGGUGCUCACUCAGUAGCCCAACCUGAAACACCACUACAUCUAGAAUUGGGAUGCUUUGGGAAAGAGUAAAGCACCCUGGGGUCCUAGAGUUGCCAUGUAACCUUGCCCCUUUCCAUCCCCCAGUGUCCUCCCGUAUCCUCCUGUCUUCCCUCUGUCCCAGUCCAUCCUGCAUCCCACCUACAGUUCCUUCCUAACAUGCUCCAGCCCCUGCUGUGUGCCCCAGCCCCACCAUGUCCAUGUAGCCCCCUUGGCCAUGCACAGGUGAUAUCAAAGUUGGGCUCAUCCCACAGCAGUGACUGCAAGCACAGCUGGGUCAGCACUUCCAGCACCACCAGUAUGUCCUGGGGGCAGGGACCCUCAUGUCCAACAAGACCCUGCCAACUGGAGUAAUGCUGAUUCAUGGGGACUGAGGCUCUGGGGACACCUACCCACAGGGCCUCAGGCAUCUAGGAGACCCACUGACCUGUGGGGACCCCUUUUUAUAGAAAAACUUGAUACUGCAAAGGAAUAAGGUAUAAUAGUAAAUAUUAAGUUGAACAAUGUUUCUUUGUGCUACAAACAGUAUAUGUUUAAAUUAACUCAUCGCACUCAGUAACAAGUUUUGCCAGCAAAUAGGCAAAACCUUCUGUGUGAAAUAGUUCACUUCUAAUAGCUCAGGAUCUGUCAGACUUUUACCAGAUGAAUAGUUAUUAAAUUGAGGAUAUGUGCACUGCACUAUUUAAUAUAUAAUGAAACUCUUUUAAUAAAUAUAUGAGCUGAGAUUAAGGCUGCUAAUUUAAUCACUGACAGCAGAGUCUCUGUGUAUGGAAAAUAACCCUUUAGCAUUGAAACGUUCAUUUCUGCUAUUUUUUCCAUGUGGUUAUUAUACUUGCAAAGAUCCAAAAAAGGCCAUUUUCCUGGAGGCAGAAAGAAAACUAAAAAAGCUUUAGAGGCAGCUGGGCAGGGAGCCGUGGGUCUGACUUUGCUGACAGAAAAAGUGAUUUGGAGGGGAGCAUAGUCCGGCGUUUUAUUGAGAAAGUCCUCAGGUAGAAAACUGCUGAUUAGUUUUACCCUAGCAGUGUCUCAGCUGAGUCUGACCACCUUAUUUCCCAGCUCCCAGUGCCAGUUUCAGGUGCCUGGGGGAGAAGUGUGGUUCCUUGCUGGGACAUGGAUGACUCUGCCAUGGUGUUGCUGGCUGGUUCUCCACCCCCAGCACAAUGAUGGAUUCUUAAAAUUACUACUGAUUUCUCAACUACUGAUUUCUCAGGAACAGCGUGUAUGUUUUUGUAUAAGGGCUGCAUCUGCUGAAUGUUAAAUAGAUUUUGUGUGUACCGGUGUCAGGAGACAGAAAGAAUAAAUAGUCCCUAAGCAGACAGAAAGGCUAUAUUUAGGUCUAGGCUGAGUAUGCCCUCUGCCUGCCAAAAGAAAAAAAAAAAAAGCCUCUUCAUUUCCUGCUGGUCCUUUAUAUAUAAUUUUUUCUUCAUUGUGUUUUAAAACUUUCAAAUGUGGAUCCAGUCUAGUGUUGGGAAGCUGCACAGUCCUGCCUCUGUGACAGCCCCAGAAGCAUACGGAGUUACUUCUGGGCUCCAGCCACAGCCCUGCCCUGCCUGGCCACCAGGUCACUGAGCCUGAUCUGAUCUGUGGGCUGACAUCCUGACCCAGCCUCAGCCUAUUUCCACCCCCAAAAUCUUGCCUCUGGUUGCCCUCACCAAGCCUAAACGUAACUCCCACUCACGGGGAGUUACUCAGUGGGAGUCCCAGCCAGGCCUUCCCUACACCAUCCCUAUUCCCAUCCCCAGGGAACUGGGGCUGCCUCCUGGCUUCCCUGCUUUCUGGCUGGGGUGGUGGGGUGGGCUGUGGCUGUGAGACCCAGCCCCAAGGGUGACCCCGCUGCUCCUGGCCUUCGCAGUGCCCUGAUGCACGUGGUGUCCAGUCUUCCAGACAACACCCUGUCAUGCUUUCAGCUAUUAUGAAAAAUUAAUCCACAGAAGUCUUAGGUUAAAUGGACCAUGAAGGGCUUCCAUGAUUCCUCCUUUAUGAUUUUUCAUGGAGAGUACAAGACUCCCUUUUAAAGAGGCUUUGUGUCUUCGGAUUUUGCAAAGCAUGGGGAGCGUGCCUGUGUUGCAGAGGAGAACAGAAGUACUUGAGCUAGUGUUGAAUGCAGUGCUUCGGAUAUCACAGAGCAGUCCAGCCAUGGAACUCAGCAUGAGCUAACUUUACCCUACUUCUCCGCACUGUAGACAUACUCUGGUUUAGAGGUUUGACAAAUGGUCUGUAGGUUUGAAACAGCUUCAGGAACAGACUGGCAUUAAUCCCAGGUUGAAAUAGGAAACAAAGAGUGCCAAGAGACAUUGAAAAAGGAACAAGAGUUUCUUGUAACAAGUACUCAGAGGACUUUAGCCCUUGAAGAGGAGAUUCAGAGCUCCUGAUGUGAGCAGACUUUCAUAUACUGCUUUCCAGUUUUAAAAUUGUACAACUGUCUUUUGUUCCAGCCACUUCAGAAGUUGCUAAAAAUCUGCCAGUUAUAGGAAGCCUCUUUCCCUCCCCUUUUGUCAAGAAUGACUCUUGUAAGUAACUCUGAGCCUGUGCAUACUGCUCUGCUCUAUCAGGAAUAGAGCUCUGCAGCUUAUCAUGAAAUGGAGAAACACAGCGUACACCUUCAUGAGGAAAACAGUUGAGGAGAUAGGAUAUCGGAUAUCAACUCUUAUUUUCUACUAGAGGUGAUUAUUUUUUUUUGUUUUUUUCUUUUUUCCUCUAGAACAGCCUGUAUUCUGGGUUUGAAGCUAUGACAGGGGAGAUUCAGGCUGGAUAUCAGGAAAAUGUUCUUCACCAAGAGGGUGGUCAGGCACUGGAGCAGGCGCCCCAGGGAAGUACUCAUGGUACCAAGUCUGGUGGAGUUCAAGAAGCCUUUGGAUAAUGCUCUCAGACAUGUGGUCUUAUUUAUUUGGUGGUCCUUUGGGGACCCAGGAGUUGGACUAGAUGAUCCUUGUGGGUCUCUUCCAACUUGGGAUAUUCUAUGAUUCUAUGGUUCCCCUUUUAUAUAUUGCUUCCUUCCAUGUGUAGACUAUGAGUAAAUGUGAGCAGAGAACCACAAACUCCGUAAGACCAGAGUAUUUUGGAGCAUGCUGCAGCAUGAAAAUUGGGUUGGUAAGGUCCCAUCUAAUGCCCAGUACAAAGUCAUGCUUCGUGACCUACAGUUUCGGGAAUGACAGCUCUGUUUUAAUUCCUUCAGUACAUGUUUAUGACUCACUGGGUCAUCUGUGUUUUGAAUGUAGCAGAUUCUGUUGCGUGGGUACAUAUGCAUGUGGUGUAUAUGUAAGAGAGAAAAAGCUAAGGUUGAAUAUCUGACUACGAGUACUUCUCAUUUCUGUAAACUAGGGGUGGCUAUGGUAGCCUAACCUGAAGCUAAAAAUGCAGUAAAUACUGGAUGGUGGGAUUAGGAGCUUUCUACACAACCCAUUGUAGAAAUAGUGAGGAGUUUUUGCACAAUCAAAUGGUUGUGACUAGUAUGGAGCAGAAUGCUAGUCUUCUAGCCGAAUUGCAAAUUUGAAACUGGCUAUGAAUGACCAAGGGAAUGAUAAAACUUUCUUUAACUAGACAGGUAAAAACAUGCAAAUCCUUUAUCUUUGUCUCCAGUAAAAAUGCUCCUCUGGUUCAAUUAUCACUUAAAUGAGUAUAAAUCAGGAAUAGCUCAUGUAAAUCUUACAUCUGUGCUGCACCUUCUGGUAAGUCUCAUGGGCUUGACAGUGAUGUGAUCUAAUUUAAAGUGUCAUUGAGGAUUUAUUCAGAAUGAGUUUUAAAAGUGUACUCUGCAACGUUUCUCUAUUUGAAAGGAGAAAGUAGGUUAAAAGAAAGAUAAUUUACAAGGAAAAGUCAAGGCAAGACUAAUCAGCAUGAGGGCCUGGUUAGACACAUAGCAAUGUUUAAUCCUUACUGUUACUAAUCCUUCAGGCCAGGAUUGCAAAAAAGAGAGUUUUUCUUUUAUUUCUUGUGUAUUACCAACUGCUUAGAGGACAGAGCAACCCCAGUCUCCUCAUUUUGCGUCAGGUUAAUAGGAACAGCGUAAAGGACAAGAUGCAGCACAUGUUACAGUAUAUGCCUAUGGGCUCCAUACAUCAUUCAACUGGUAAACUAUUGCCUUAUAAAUCUAAGUAACCAAGAAGAAUGAAACCAGAGCCUGAUGGUGCCCAGUAACAUGGCCAAGAGACAGUCAUAACGACCAGGCAUAUGGGCAGCCAAGUGAAUCAUGCUGCCAGGAGGGAUGUCUGCAGUGCAGCAGUUGGGAAAUGCUUAUUAAAAGUCCUAACAUGGCUGCAUGCCCCUGAGGAGUCAUUUCUGUUGAAAGAGGCAUCUUUCCAGACUGCUGUUUAUCAUCACCCUCCUGGGAAGCUUCAACAAAAACGGCUGGAAACCUCCCCUCCUACAUCAUUUCCUGAGCAAUUCAAUCAGCUUAGAAGGAAAGGCUUAAAGCCAAAAGCUACAAAUUGCUGAAGGACAAACAUCCUCACUCUCCAUGCCUGUUUGAACUUGGGUACUGAGCUGUGUGGCAGCAGGACCUGGGGUUCCUUGCAAGGUGUCCUUGUGAAAUAGAAUGAAACACCCAAUGGAGCAGUACACUUGCGCAUGUGUGGAUUCUGCUGGCAAUGUGUGUGUUUCUGGAUGUCAUUCUCCAGCAGCCAUUCUUUCUGAGCUCGGUUUUGAAGAAGCAAAAGUCUCUGCAGCUGUCACCUGAACGUUUCCCGUCUGAUUCAGCUGCCUUGCCUGCUCUUUCUUGCUCAGGGUAAUUGUAAGCUGCCCCGUAGCCACGAAACAACUUGAGCUUCUUGCUGAAAUCGCACCCAGCCGUUUCUUUCCGCAAGGCGAGGGAGAAAGGAGGUCUGCAAGAGUUCACGUUAAUAAUGACUUAAAUGCCCAUUUCCCACACAUCUUUGCUAGCACAAACAACGAAAAUAGUCCACUUGCAAAGAACCUGAUUCAGCUUUCUUGCAUUCCACAAUAACAGAUGGAUUGCUAGACUGUUUACUGUUGCUUCCCACAAACUUCCUGUUAGUAAACUCCUGUAUUAUUUAUGAAACAGAAAAAUUACAAAGAAGUACCCUAGCUGAUUACUGCCUGCUGGUGAACCACUGCCAGAGAAACUUAUUAUACAAAUAUGUGUAUGAGAGCAAAGAUUGCUCUGGCUGCUGCUUUUUUUGUUGUUGUUGUUUUACUCUUACAAUUGUUCAUUUCACAGUAUUCUGCAACCCUGACUGGACUCGUGGCCCUAUUGUGUUGCAUUCCCAAGCAGGUAUUUCCUGCAUCCAGACAUUGACAGUCAAAUCAAGGCAUUCAUGGAUGUGUGAAGGAGCAAGGAGGAAAAACAAAGGAAAAAAAAAAAAAAAAGCACGCAUGCAUUGUUGCAGCAAUCAGCUACGAAUAAGAAACGUUUGAAGCCUUUUUGUUUUACAAUGACAAUGAUGAAUGAGAUGUUUCUAAUGUGAUAUUAAUCUUUGCUGCCUUCGUGUAUGAAGCCUGUUAUCUUGGAGCUGUUGGUAGAAAAGAGAGAGAAUAUCGAUCACCUUCAUGCUACUUCUGAUAUAAGUAGGUAGCAAAUGCAAAGAAACUAUUUUCCUCUCAGUUUGGCUGUUAAACUCCGUGAAACAUAUGAGCUGAGAAAAGCACUUUGUUUUCACUGCAUCCUGUAGGUUUGAUUGAUUUCUGACUUUCGGCAGCAUGAGAAGGGAGGCCAGCCUAUAGUCCAUUUGCACAAUGUAUCAACAAAGCUAGCUAAUUUAAAAAGUAGUCUGUGAUAAAAAGGAAUAAAAUGUAACGCAGAAAUAUGAAUCUUGUAUCUUACCCAAAGUACUUGUCGUGAUUCUAGAAAUAACACUUGACCUAACAAUAACACAGUCGUUCUGUUUUUUGAAUAGCUGCUAUUAUAUUUCCCCGUGUUUCUGUUCUAUGUAUGUGUUCUGUAUGAACGAAUUGGCUGCUCCACCUGAUAUUUAUGACUGUAGACGUGCAUUAUACAUACAUACAGAAACAGAAUGAAAAUUUUCCUGAUCUGAGAUACAGAUAAGUCUUCCUUGAGAUUUUUUUUUUUUUGAUUCCCUAAACUGAAAUCAAAACUCAAACCAGCACUGCAGACUGAGUGCUUUCUAAUGUUAUAGACCUGCUAUCAUGGAUCUUUCAUUGCAUAAAGUUUAACACAAAAAAGCUGGUGUACGUUGUAGGCAUCUGCAGGAUGCUGAUUAAAUCAUCAUAUACCUUUAUAAGGACUGUAUCUGCAAAGAGUCAAUGCCGAAUGGAAUGGGGCUUCUGCUGAUCCUGGGGCAGAGCUUGUUUGUGUGCAUUUAUCUGUGAGACUGUCACAUAACUUAUCACUUGUUUCAAAUAAUAAUAUUUUCUCUGAUCAAAUUCUCUCUCUUCUCUGCAUUUUUAAAUGCUCUCACUCUAAGCUCCUAUUGACAGGAAAAGUAUUCAAUAUUAUUAAGGGCAGAUGAUCAACUGCAGUAUCUGUCUCCUGAUGCUUCACUCCACCAACAAGAAGCUUGUGACAGAUGUUUCUAUGCUUUAUGCAAAUAGGAACUUCAUGGAUCAGUUUUCCUUUCCUCCAUGGAAUAUAUGCAGCUGGAAAAUAGAAAUCCAGCUCCACGGCAUGAAGGAAAAAAAAAAAAAAAAGAAAAAAAAAGAAAGAAAAGCCACUGACCAAACAGGCAGCCGACCGAGAGAAAGCAAGCGGUACACGUGAAAUCAGAAUAAUUGGACUGCUGGUUCCUAGGAUCACUUCUGGGUGUCUUAAGUCAAGCAGUGUUUGCGAUGAUAUGGUUUUUGUGGGCUUUCUCUGUGACUACACUAUCGUUCACAAGUCGUUGCUGAAAGAUGAAAAAAUCUUUCCUGGGUUGUGUGUGCAUGAUUGCUUCUUCACAAAUAAUUUUUUUACCAUUUCUGACGUGCCGUUUUCAUUCUCGCAGUAGUUAUGGAGAACUAUCUGUAUUAGAUUUAAUAUGUAAGUAUAUUAAAAAUAGUGAAGCUGAGCUUGCAUAUGAAAAAAUGAUUACAGUUUAUAUGUUAUAAAUAGUGUAGAGACAUUUAUAUAAACAGUAUGGAUUUAGUUAUGUUCUUUAUAAUAGCACAGAAAACUGGAUAUGUAAAAGUGAUUGAUGAAAAGAAAAUGGAAAAUUUCCUUCCUGUUUAUUAAAAGAAACAAACCCCCCCAAACUUAGCAAUUUAGUGGAGGUUUAAAGGAAAUAUAGUUUUACAGAUUAUGAUACAGUACAAAAAAUUUCUAUUUAGUGAUUUCUAAAAUAGCUUACAAUAAGGACAGAUUGUUGAAUGUUACCUCCUAUUACCCUAGAAAAACAUGAGAGGUGAUCAUACGAAAUGCUAAUGAUAAAAAAAGCUAAAUUUUAAAAUGAUUAUUAAAUAGAAUUAAUAUUGUUCUUUUAAACAGACCUGGUCUUCUUAUAUUAUUUCUAAUUUUAUAUAGUUCUUUUAAUAUUUCUGUGCAACUAAUUUUUAUCAUAAGACAUGGGAAGAUGUCUAAUGGAUUCUUAGUCAGUUUGUCUGUACCUUAUUUUCUCAGUGAAGUUUUUCUUGAUCUUGUGUAUUUUCAAUAUUUUAAAAUCUAUUGUGGGUCACAGAAAUAUUUUUUGGAGAUUCUCAUUUAGAAUUUAAUUUUAAAUCUGUAUCUCAUAUACUGUAAACACUCAGUUGGGAACUCUGAUAAUUUCUGUUUCCCCAAAGCCUCGUUUUGUAUCAUAGUAUUGUAUAGAAUCUUGUCUCGAUCUCACGACUAGUCAAAAACUGGGAGGGGAUCUUUAUCCACUUCAGAUGUGCUACAAAGUUUUGUUGAAAAGCCCCUUUCUGUAUUUUUUUCUAUUAAAAUUUAUAAUAAGCAUUAGUGAUUUUAUGUAGAUUUAUUUUAAUUGAGUUCAUUAAAAAAAACAUAGCCAAAGAUAAAGUGCCAAUAUCAGGAAAAGAAGAAAGAAAAAGGCUACAUGUGUAAAUGACUAUCUUGCUUAACUGAAUCUAAUUUAAUUGGACAGCAAAUAAUUAGCAAUAUGUUUGUAUGUAUUAUACCAUGUCUGCUUUUUGCACGUAGCUGUGCAGCUAGUAAUGUUCUGCAGGUAAGGUCCUGUUUCAGCUAAGAUCUGUAUCUGAGGAGUCAAAUGCCAUCCUAGAAUCAAGUAUUAAUAGAAUAAACUUAAUUUUAGUUUUUCAUAA